Molecule: long non-coding RNA, 22054 nt
Filed under: Medicago truncatula (barrel medic)
Lineage: Eukaryota; Viridiplantae; Streptophyta; Magnoliopsida; Fabales; Fabaceae
Description: long non-coding RNA (MTRU_LNC008251)
Source: RNAcentral
AUAGAGUUUUUGAGCUGAAAAAGCUAAGAGGGAGAGCAAAAACAAGGAAUCAAGAGCAGAAAGAAGAAGUCUCUGAGGACAAGGAGAUAGGAAAAUGAACCUUAACCAUUGAAGUAUGAAUUGUGGUGUAGAGGAAGAUGAAUGUAUAGGUAAAAGGGUGCAUGAAGGAGAAGUUAGCCAUGCAGAAGAAGAAGAAGACAUGUUCUGCUAUGUUAGGAGAGAAUGGAACAGAGACACUCUUAAACAAAAUAUAAUAAUUUUAAAUGACAACUAUACUCCACGCAAAUUUGUCCACGCUUGGCACGAGUCUCAUGAUGUCUUUAAAAAUGCUUUUCAUAAUUUUUACUCCCUCUGAUCAUUCAAAGAAAAAAUGUAUAAAUAAAGGAGAGAAAAAAAUGGUUUUAAAUGUAAGUAUUGGUGCAUUAUCCACUAUCAUAAAUACUAAAUAGAAUAUACUCCAUCCGUUUCUUUUUAAGUGUCACUUUUGAAGAAAUUUUUUAUUCCUGUUUAGUUGUCACUUUCAAAGUUCAAUGCAACAUUAAAUGUUAUUUUACCAAUAUUGUCCUUAAUUAUUUAUUGCGGAGAGAGAAAGUAUAGCUUAUUGCAUCAAAAUUAGUAUCAAUUGUUGAUUGUCUUGGUUUGUGUAAAUGUCAAAAUGUGACAAUUAAAAAAGAACUGAGGUAGUAUUGAAUUAGGAGUGAUAAAAGUAAUAUUAAUUACAGUCAUGAAGGGAAAAAAUAAUUAAUAUUGUAUUGAAAAAUAAAAUGACUCAGUUAUUUUGGGACAUUUUUUGACAGUUAUUAUGGAACAGAUGGAGUAAAAGAUAAGGGUCAUGUUAAUUUAUGCUCUAAAGGCAGACACAAGUUAAUCAGCUAUAAAAGGAAUAAGCGAUAAAUUUUGUAUUGAAAGUAUAAAUAUUUGAACUUUUGUAACGUUGAAUACUCAAUUUUAAAAAAAUAAUAAUUUUAUCUUUAAUUUUUUAAGGGUACAAAAUAACAUUUUACUAAAGGAUAUAUUUAAGAACAACUUUAUUUAGAUGGAAUUUAUAAUUAGACACUAUGGAAGUAAAAGUGUUGACCGUAGUAAAAAAAAAAAUGUUGACCGUUGUUGUUAUUGCUGCGUCUGCAUGAGAGUGAGAGCAUCCUGACUUGUGCCGGCUAAGUCAAUCUUGAAAAGAGUUAACCAUUGUUGCAAUUUAAAAUUAGGUUAUACUUGUGCUCUAUAGAUAGUAUAUCGUAAGUUAAAAUUGUAUCUUAUAAAGAUACUUGUUAAAAUUUUAAAAAUAGUUUUCUCUCAAUUUUUUUUUAAAUAAUUUAUUAAGAAAAUUAAGUUUUAAAAUUUUGAUAAAUAAAUUGAUAGUACUAUUUUUAAUACAUAAUUUCUAUCUUCGAUAUACUAACAAUAACAUGCUCUAAGGACAUAUUAUUAAUUAUGAGUUUUUUUUUUAUGAUGGGCAAAUCUGUACAUAUUAAGAAAUUUAAAAAAGUAAGUUUACAUUAGAACUUGUGCGUUUAAUAAUAAAUAUGUAUCAUUUUGUCAAAAAAAAUAAAAAAAAUAAAUAUGUAUCAUUUUAAUAAAUAAUUGUUUUUUUUUGUCAAGUAGUUUAGUGGCUAGAGAAAUUCACCGAAAGAUGAAUAAAUGGGGUGUCUGGGGUUCAAACUCCGACCCCACACAUAUUAUGUUAUCCCUUACUAAAUGAGCUAAGCUCAUGGAGACUAAUAAAUAAUUGUUUUAUUUCAAUAAAAAAUUUCUACUUUUAUUACUUUAACAUCUGCAAUAUUUGUAUGUUAAACAAACCAAUUAAUUAUAAGUUCCACUGCCUUUCAAUUUUUUUUUUUAAGUUCCACUAUAUUUUUUUUUUUAAAGAACUAACUGCAUUGAUUUGAUCGCCAUCAAAUGUUGAUUGCCUCAUUCUUGUAAUUAUUAGUGGCCCACAUCAUUGUUUUGUCCCCAACUAUUUAUCUUUUUGUCACGAGUUCUUUCACAACACUUUUUAAAGAUUUUAAAUUGAUUUUUUUUUAGGAAAAUAUUACACAAACACCCUUUAAUCAUACACCCUAUUGUACACCCUAUAUAUUAAAGAUAUUUUGGUAAAUUCAUCUCAGAGUCAUACUUUCUCUUUCAUCUCCUCUCCCUUUUCCUUACCACAUGUGAGGAUUUUAUGUGGGUGUAAGAGGUGUAUUGUCACAUAGGGGUGUACAUGUAUCAUUACUUUUUUUUUUUUUUAAAGUUAAAUAUUACUCCAUUCGUUUUAAAAUGAGUAUCAUUUUAGCCAAAAAAAUUAUUUCAAAAUGAAUGUCAUUUUCAGUUUCCAAUACAAUAAUAACUUUUUUUUUUCAAUUGUACCCUCCAAUUAAUACACUACUUUCAAAGUAUAACUUUUAAAACUAACCAAUAGUUAAUAAGGAUAAUUUGAUAAAAUAAUAUCCUCUUUCUUUUAAUCAUUGCAUUUCUUAAUAUGUGUGUAAACUCCUAAAACGACACUCAUUUUAAAACGGAGGAAGUACAAAUUUUAAUACUAUGAAAACACAUAAUUUUGUACAACAUUAUUAUUAAAGGUCCUUAAAAAGCGUCCAAAGACACUCGUUAACAUUUUCUUUAUUUUAUUUUAGGAAAAGGUGUGAUUAAGACAUUUCAUUCAUAGGGUUUUUUUUUUUUUUUUUUUUUUUUUUUUACAUUUUUAAAUAUUUGAGUACAUAAGUUCCAUUUUUUUUCCUAUACUUGCUUCCUUAACUAGUUUUACGAGAUAACUUAUUAGCCUUUUCCAUUAACAUAUACUUAAUCCGUCCUUAUAUACGAGCCCUCUUUAUCUUUUUCACAUUUUAAUUUCUUUUUUGAGGGGUUAAAAAAAUUUGUAGUGCUUAAUGUCCUUAUUUUACGUGAAUAUUACUAAAUUGUCAUUUGUUUGAAUGUAUUUUAAAGUUGACUUUUCAUAUUUUAAGGCAAAUCAAUAAGAUUGGUGCUAGUCACACCCAAAAAAAAACAAGUUACACCCCAGAAUGACUAAUAUACCCUUUAAUUAAAAUAAAAAUUUCAAAUCAACUAAAUUUACAUUAUCGUAAAUUGAACAUAAGUAAACUUAAUUUACAUUAACCUAAAUUGAACCUAAGUAAACUUAAUUUACAUUAACCUACAUUGAACGUAAGUAAACUGAAUUUACAUUAACCUAGAUUGAACGUAAGUAAACUUAAUUUACAUUAACCUAGAUUGAACGUAAGUAAACUGAAUUUACACUAACCUCUUAUAUACAUACGUAAACUAAAUUUACAUUAACCUACAUUGAACAUAAGUAAACUUAAUUUACAUUAACCUAAAUUGAAGAUAAGUAAACUUAAUUUACAUGUAAACUUAAUUUACAUUAACCUAGAUUGAACGUAAGUAAACUUAAUAAUUUACAUUAACCUAGAUUGAACGUAAGUAAACUGAAUUUACAGUAACCUCUUACAUACAUACGUAAACUAAAUUUACAUUAACCUAAAUUGAACAUAAGUAAACUUAAUUUACAUUAACCUAGAUUGAAUGUAAGUAAACUGAAUUUACACUAACCUAAAUUGAACAUACGUAAACUUGAAUUUACAUUAACCUACAUACGUAAACUACACUAACCCCUUUUAUAUACAUACACGUAAACUUAAUUUACACUAACCUCUCACUUAAAAUCAAAUUGACAGGCAUAUCUCAUACCAAAACAAACAAUAAAUAAAUAGAAACUCAUCGAAAAUGAAAUUCACUAACCUUUAUGAAUAUAGUACAGAUCAAUAACAAAUAUGUUAAUUCAGAUAUUGGUUGCACAUCUAUGGUGAUUUGUGGAUGAAAGGGGGUAAAGGUUCAGAAUGAUCAUAAAAGAUGGGUUUUUAAAAAUUUACAUGAAGAGGACAAUUUUGGUAUUAUUGUAAAAUUUUAAAUAAAUUUAGGUGUAACUUGUUUUUUUUGGGGUGUGACUAGCACCAAUCAAUUAAUAAUAUUAAUUAGGGGUAUGUUUAGAAAAAAAAAUAAUUACAUCUAAUAAUUUGUAUAAAUCUUUAUAUAAAAGGACAAAUUUCUUUCUCAAUAAAUACUUAUAAUUAGGGACAAAGGAAGUGACUUCAAAGCUUAAAGUAUUAAAAAAGAAAUGUUUUGAAACUGUCAUUUUAUUAAGAGUUUAUAGUUUAUUUAAUUAGCUUAUAGAUUAGGUUUAGGUUUAAAUGCUCUUUUGGUCUUUAAGUAUUUAAUUGAUAUCGCUUUGGUCCCUUAACUAAAAAAAAAAAUUGUUUGAGUACUUUAAGUUUUUUUUUAGUCUCGUUUUGGUCCCUUCUGUUAGGUUUCCGUUAAGGUUUAAAAAAAAAAAUUAACUCCUAGACACGUGUCACCUUGUCAUUGACUCUGACUUUUUUUGUUUACAAAAAAAAUAAUUCCAAAGUGACACGUGUCCCAGAGUUAACACGUGUCACCUUGUCAUUGGUUAUGAAAAUUUUUUACAAAAAAAUAAAAUAUAUAUAUUAAAAAAUAUUUUUUUUUCUAAAAAAAUAAUAUAUUUUUUUUUGUAAAAAAAAAAAUCUCAGAGCCAAUGACAAGGUGACACGUGUCCACACAUAACGUUUUUUAUUAAACCUAACGAAAAUCUAACAGAAUGGACCAAAACGAGACUAAAAAAAAACUUAAAGUACUCAAACAAACUUUUCUUAUUUAAGGGACCAAAACAAUAUCAAUUAAAUACUUAAGGGACCAAAAGAGCAUUUAAGCCUAAAUUUAAUUUUAUCAUGUCAUGUUUAAUUAUUACUCCCUCCGUUUCUUUUUAAGUGUCACUUUUGGAGAAAAUUUUUGUUCCUAUUUAACUGUCAUUUUCAAAGUUCAAUAUAACAUUAAAUGUUGUUUUAUCAAUAUUGUCCUUAAUUAUUUAUCGCGGAGAGAGAAAUAUAUGAAAUGAGAUAUUAAAUGAAUAAGGUCAUUAUAGUAAAAGUAUAGCUUAUUGCAUAAAAAGUAGUAUCAAUUAUUGAUUGUCUUUUUGUAUAAAAUAUCAAAAUGUGACAAUUAAAAAGGAACGGAAGUAGUAGUCACACUCAAAAUAGUUUUUCUUUUUUGAGUGGUAUCCUCUCUAGUUGAAAGAUGGAAGCUUUGUACGGACCUUACUUACAUCAUUGCUUGGACCUUAAUUCCAUCCAUCGCCAUGCCUGAACUCAAAACUUGAUCGUCUAAAUAAUCUACCGCCAAGAGCGAACAAAACAUGAUUAACUAACGUCUUUCAGUCUGACUCUAAAUGUUGGAAAUGUUAGCGGUCAACAUUCGAUGGGAUUUAGUCCCAUGUCGGAUAAAUAUGAUUCUUGAGAAGAGUUUAUAAAGAGGAGACACUCCUCACCGUACAAGUCGGAUUUGUAAGGAUGCGUUAAGUUCGAUAUUCGGUAUAUGAUAUCAUAGCUUAUCGGGACUAUCUUUGGGCUUCCUACAUCGUCCACGCUUCAGGCCCAUUGGGCCGGGCUGAAGCGUGAGGGGGUGUGUUAGAGGUGAACACUUGGAUAGAUAAGAUUCUUGAGAAGAGUUUAUAAAGAGGAGACAUUCAUCACCGGACCGCGAUAUUCGUUACAGGAAAUUAGUGGACUAACAUAGGUUGUAAACUAAUCUAUCGUAAAAUAAAGGCUUAAUAGCAGUUUUUCCUCCUAAGUAUCAUGAAGUUGCGAUUUUGGCCCCCUAACAAAAUAAAAUACAAUUUAGCCCCUUAAGUACUGCCUCUUUUGCAGUUUUGGCUCCUAGGCCAAUUUUGACCUAAAAUAGACGUGGCCGCCACUGUAAUUUAUUUAUUUUUUAUUUUUUUAAAUAUUUUUUAUUACUAUAAAAAUAAUAAUAAAUAACAAUAAUAAUAAUUUUUUAAUAAUUAAAAAAAAAAAAUUACACACGUGACGUCCAUAAUACUUAGAGGGCCAAAACUGCUAUUAAGCCUAAAACAAAAUACGAGCACAAACUGGCGGAAAAUCCAAUUCAUCAAGCGUUGGAAUUUUGUCGGGGCAUUGGUGAGUUGUCUUGUGUCUAUCCUCCUCCUUAACAAGGAUUUGUUGGUACCCGUUAUGAAGAUCAAGCUUGGAAAACAAUUUAUCCAUAUAAUUUCAGUGUAAGCGCUAGUGGCAGUUCCAUGACCCUGGAUAAGAGGGUGCAAACUUUUUUACACAUAUAUAUAUAUAUAUAUAUAUAUAUAUUUUUUUUUUUUUUGUGUGUCUGAGAGAGACCAAGUUUUAAAGUAGUGAUUUUUUUUCUUAUUCCAUCAUUAAAAUCAGCGCAACUAAGUUGAAUAAAAAAAAAUAUCAACACAAUUAGUUAUUUUAACACGAACCAACACUUAAAUAAAACUCAUGUUAUUAUUAAAAUCAAUGCAACUAAUCAUUUUAUAGGUAAAAAUUAAAGAGGAGAAAAGAAAUCAUUAAAAAUCACGUUGAAAAGGUAAAAACAAUACCAUUUUAAAACAUACAAAAUAUUAAAAAAAAAAUGAGAGACUGAAAGAAAAAGAAAAAGUAUUCGAAAAAAGGUUAUGAUCAAUUGACACAACGGUGUCAAACUUAAUCCAGAACACUUCACAUAAUUCUUUACCACAUAAUAAAAUUCAUCGUUGCAUUGAAAGUUAUUAUCACAUUGUUUAUGUUUACAAAAUUUGACAUUAUUUAGAUAUCAUUUGAUACGUUACCUAGAUACAUAAAUAUUAACAUGUUUGAUAAAAAAAAAUUAAGACGUUAAUAUUGAUGCAAGUCGUUGACAUAUCAAACAAUAUUUAAUGUCAAAUUUUAUAGUAAUAGCUUUCAAUUCAACCAAGAAAUUUGUAAUAUGAUCAUGUUGGUAAAGAAUUAUCGAAUGUGUCAUAUAUUAAAUUUGACUUUGCAGUAUCAAUUGGUCCUAUACUUAAAAAAAUAUAUGAAUUAUUGAGUAGUUAUAUAUUGUGUUUUCAAAGAUCAAACACAUAACUUUCAAUUUGGGUGAAUUUGGCUUAGUGGUAAGGUAUUAUUAUUUGCUACUUGUAGAAAUUGUGUUUGAUUCCCUUCCCAAGUUCUACAUUUUAGCCUUAAGAUUUAUACAUAAUGUAAAUGAUAAAGUAAAAUUAACAUGUAUCAGAAUGUGAAAAAGAUAAUCGGCAGUUGGUGAGGUGCAAAACUUUACUGUUAGGUAAGGACCAAAGGACAUGCGGUGCAAUGCAAGUGCAACCCAAAAAUUCCAGGGUAUGCAAAAUAUAAUAAAACAAUAUAAUUGGUAUAAAAUUUAAGAUCUUAGGGUGUGCGCAGCUGCACACCCUGAAGUGCACUUAACUCCGCCCUUGGUAAGCGCCUUAUAGUAUGCCAUAUGAGGCUCCAAGGUUGCCAACCAAGGAGGUGACCCUAAACUUACAUCAGCCCCGGCCAUGGAAAGAAGAAACAUUGGUACUAAUAAGGUUUUUUUAGUUAUUUUUGGCAGCACUUGUUUAUAAUGCAAAUAACUACUCUAGCUAUGAGUUUGACAAACCUGAUGAAAGAGGAUUUCAAGUUUCCUUAGCACGUGGUAAGUAUGCCAGUUUUAUUAAACAGAGACCGCGCUUAAAUGAUUUACGUUUGUAUUCACAAGAUAUAGUUGUGUUGGGAUUGAAUUUCAGUAACUAUUCCUCGUAUGUUUCCUUUUAAUCGAUUGUAUACUUUUUAUACUUCAGAUAUUGUUGUGAAUCCGGUUAAAACUCACACCAAUGAAAACAAAGGUGUGUGGAGCAAGAGAUAGUGGUAAUCAAUGGGCAAAAUGGUUUCCAAGCAAACAACAACAAAAACAGCCCUAGACUAAUGUAGAGCAAAACCACACAAAGAGAUAACAAAGCAAAACAAGAUAAGCAAGAAAGGAAGAACAAAACACCAAGAAGAUUGUUGACCCAGUUCAGCCAAUAUGGCCUAAUCUGGGGGAGAGAGCAGCUCUCCAAUCCAAUAUGAUGAAAGUGUUACAAAGGGUUACAAGAAACAAUAGCCUUCAAGCUUACACAAGAACAAGCCCUAGAUUCUACCCAUAUGUGUUUCCCCACUCUCACAAUAUGAACCCUAAAAGAGAAGACACUAGAGGAAGCUUUAGAUCCUUCCAACUAAUGAACUCCUCACUACCCAAGGUGAUUACAAUGUUUUUCCCAACCCAAGAGACACUAUCUACAAAGACGCUCAACCCUUUGGUUCCCUCCUUUGUAAUCCAAGUUUCUCUCUCUAAGCUCUUCCAAGCUCUCUCUAAAAUCUGCACAAGAACACAAUAUAUACUAGUCUUCCUCUGAAGAAAUCGUGCCACGAUUUCCAGAUCGUGUCACGAUUUGCGUACAACCCAAGGUAUGACCAGUCCUUAUCAGUGGUACUUAACGAGCAAGUUUCUGAAUCGUGUCACGAUUUCCCAAGAUCGUGCCACGAUUUGGCGUCCUGCAAACUAGCUCACGGCACCUCGAGAUCGUGUCACGAUGCCAAAAUCGUGUCACGAUUUCUCUGUUCUUCCAGACCACAAAUUUGAAGCCAAUAUCAACAGAUAUAAUUUCAGCUUUCCCUCAUCGUACGUCUCCGACUAAGGUUAACGGCACAAGAUCCAUAAAACAACCGAUUUUUGAUGCAUGACAGCCAAAUAGCCUAUUGUUUCUAUGUCAUAAGCUCGGAAAGUUAUACACGAAUAUAAAACUACCCGCGAUCUCUCGGGCGAUAACACCUAUACAUAAUUUAAACCAUGUCCUUUAGAUAGUCAGAAUUACUAGGAUUUCUAGCGAAUCGGUCAUUUUUAGAUUGACCGCGAGAAAUGAUUCACAAGGAUUUCUCGUGAAUCAGUCAUUUUUGAAAGUGUCGUUUGAAAUGCAUGCUUCAAAUUUUGAAUUGUAUGGGCAAGUCUUAUGUUUACCACUAAUUUGGAAUCAGACCAUGAAUGUGCAGUUUAUUCAAAACACAAAAUUUAUUUCAUACAUUCCAAGCCAAUAACAAAACUAAUAAUGAAUCACACCUAACACACUUCUUUGUAAGUAGAUAAUGAAAUAUAAAGAUCAUGUGUGGACUUGAACUCACAUAUGACAAUCUUGCUAACAUCUUGAUAUCAAGUUAUGCAUUCAUCCAAGCUUAUUACUUCGAAAGUAUUUAAGCAUGGAUCAAUAAGGUUUUUAAGGGUUGUAAUGAGGCUUGGUUACAAAAGAAUUUCCAUUUGUAUGGACAUUUGAAUCAAAGUGGCCUUAUUAUAAAGGAGCCUUCAUACAUUUACAAAACACAUCUCAUUUUUUAUUUUUCAAAACCUUAGGUGAUUAUGAUAGUUUGAUACAACUAUACUUGAAAACUUUGCCGGCCAAUAAACGACAGAGUUAAAACAAAACAUUGCCGGCCUCCUAUGCAUUUAGUAAAAACAACUGAAAGAUUCCUCACAUUUUGGUUUGGUUCUAAGUGACUCAUGCUAAAAGAAUGUUAUUGUGGAGCAAUGCAUGAAAUGAUUCUGUAUAAUGUGCAAAUUUCACAUGCAAAAUAUCAUUCAAGAAAAGCGGUAAAUAUGUACCUUGACUUUGCACAAUCUUUUCAAAGAUGUUAUCAUAUCAUGCAUUUGCUUCUGAUUCAUUUAAUGUCUUUGGACAAAUUUGAAGCUUUCACAUUCAUUUAUUCAUUUAAACAACCAUAAAUAUAAACAUAAACGAAACCGGUUGUCUUAAAGUUAUUACACCACAAUUAAACAUAAAAUUCAAACAUAACACAAAGUUAAACAUCUCAUAUACGAUGUAGUCUCACCACAUUAAAAGAUCAAAUUAUUUAACAUAACACAAACAUAAGUAAAUAUCAAAGACUAAACAUGAAGGAGAAUUAUAAACUGAAAAACAUCAUAAAAACAUAUCACUUGGUAUGGCGUGCUUUCCGUUUUACUCGAUCUUUCUCAAGAGUCUUUUAUACUCUUACUCUUUUGGAUCCACUUCAAUGAAGUCAUUUCCUUGGUCCAAUCAUGUUCCAUCAUCAUCACUUGUUCCAGCUUUAGCAUGAUCACCUUGAGCAUUUGCUCUGACCCUCUCUGGAUAAAAUGGCAUGUCCACAGGCCACUGGACAUAGGCAUUGUAGGAAUCCAGGUUGAUCACUGGAAAGUCUCUGGUUCCUGGAUUUUGCAUUUGUAUCAGCAACCUGUACAUAUAGCCAUUCAAACUAGUAAGGGAUCUAUUCUGGGUAUCGACUAUAUCCCAGCUAUGUGUAAAUGAUGCUCUAAUACGUGGAUCCCUUCUACCAGAAUGAGAUUUUCUUUAGGUCCUUUUUUUAAAACCGUGUUUGGUUGAAUUUAUGUUUUCUGCAUUCUGUUAUGGUUAUGGGAUAUUUCAGAUUAUAUAAGUCGAACAUAAUAUAUAUGUUUAGACUUAUAUAAUCUGAACAGUAAGUUUUUACGCCCCAUGCAGACGUACUUAGGCUACAUGGAGGUAUGGUGUUUGGGGCAUUUCGGAUUGUAUAAGUCGAGAUAAAUAUAUAUGUUUUGUCUUAUAUAAUCUGAAACAAUUCUCAAAACCAGAACAUAAUACGUUUUUUUCGUUUUCUUCUGCACUCCAACUAACAAUUUUGUAUACAAUCUAGUACCGUUCAAAGAUCUAGUUGUUUAUGAAAGAACAGUUUCAACAGUUUAUUUUUUCCAGAGACAACCUCUAUGCGUCCACCUCCAAAAAAAAAUCAUUACAAAAGGGGCCCCCAAAGAAGGAUACACAUAUUGUACGCUCAACAAAGCAGUCACCUUCACUCUAGGAGCAUGUUGACUCUCGGAACCCAGAUACCCAGACUUCACAGACCAAGUCAAUAGGGUCAACUAGGAAAAGUGCACGUAAAAGUAAUAUGUCUCCUAAUCCUCCUAAGCCAUGUCUGGGCAAAGUCAAUUUCUCCAAAAGAAUUAAUCCAGUCGUUCAUGCAUGAAUUUAUUGAAAAAGCGGCGGACGUAGUGAUGGUCAUUGUAGAUUCCAUACAGUUGCAGGCCUACGCAACCCGUCUGUUGAUGAUUAUCAUAUAAUCCAUUAUCAACUUCUAAAAGAGCUUAACGGUGAAGAUAGUGUCCGUUAUCGCCGAUUGAUUGAGUCGGAAAAUCGCUUCAAGCAGAUCUUACACGCCCUUACCAGUGAUGGUAUUGGUCUUGCUCCACCGAAAAAAUGGAUGAUCAUGACGGAUAUGAGUUUCCUCAUUGCACAUAGAUACAAGCAUGUGGUGGUUCUAUUGUCCAUCGAGAAAGGGCAAUUGAAAACCUUUUUCCCUCUACGUGGUGAACCUUCACAUAGAGAUUGAAUGUUGUGUCAAGCACAUGUGAAUAACAACCAUUUUAUGAUGAUAUAUUUGAAGGAUGGUUAUCCAAUUCCUUCCACUUCUGUGCUAUGGAGACAACAUUGUCGAGAAUAUGCAAAAAAAUGGGAUGAAAGAUAUGUCGGUAGAAUGAUUGCCAAUAAUGGACUAAGUCUGUCGGCGUGUUAUGAGGUAAUAUGAGAUGAUGAUUUGUAGCUUGUUGAAAACAUUAACCUUGAAGAGAAGGUUGUUGGCUUGCUUCUCAUAAGAAGCUCGGAGAUGGAGUCAAGAUUGAAAAGGAUGAAAGCCCUAUCCUUAAUGAUUGUAGUAUGGAUCUUGGAAUAGAUUAGUCGAAAUGUAUAUCAUUAUCAACUGCAUAAUGAUUUUUUGAUAUAAUGAUUUUUUUAUAUAAUUAUAAACUCCAUCUUUUAUAUUUUUUAUAUAAUUAAAAUUUGUUGAAUCCACAAAGACAUCAAAUUUAAGCACUUUUGAAUUUCAUAAAUUGAACGAAAGGUAUUUUCAAGAGAAAAAAUAGGGCCACAAGAAACCCAUAAGAUAGAAAAAAAUAGUAAAAAAAACUAACUAUAAUCUGCCUCUAGCAGCAGAGCAAGAUCAAUGCACAAAUAAAUAAAUAAUAGUUUUUCCUCGCAUAUUAUUCUAGAAUUUGAAUGAAUGAAGUUUUAUUUUGCUGUCUAAAAAAAAAAAUGAAAUGGUAGAGAACUUUCAUGAUCCGAAUAAAAAAAGUUUUGUUAACGAGUGUCCCAUGACAUUCUUUAAGAAUCCCAAAUUUAGUAAUUAUUCUUUUAAAAGGUUAACUAUUACAAUUUUCAAUGCAUUGAAUACACAACUUUUUAUAAAAACUUUUUUUUGAUCAAAACACUAAAAUAUACUACCUCAAUUCCUUUUUAAUUGUCACAUUUUGACAUUUUACACAAACCAAGACAAUCAACAAUUGAUACUACUUUUGAUGCAAUAAGGUAUACUUUUACUAUAAUGACCUUAUUCAUUUAAUAUUUCAUUUCAUAUAUUUCUCUCUUCGCAAUAAAUAACUAAGGACAAUAUUGGUAAAACAACAUUUAAUGUUGUAUUGAACUUUGAAAGUGACAGUUAAAUAGGAACAAAAAUUUUCUCCAAAAGUGACACUUAAAAAGGAACGGAGGGAGUAAAAGACAAGAGAGACCUGAACCGAUACAGCACAAUCACAAAGUGAAAAACCUAUGAAAAGAAAAAUCAAAUCUAUCCCAAGAAGGAAAGGUCUUAAGGAAAGAGGUGUCAAAGACCACCAUUGCAGGGAAAAACUAGACAAAUAAUGACCAUUCUUGCCAAUCAACUGCUACAAGACUACCCUCUACGAAAAUUUGAACAAAAGUAUUUAUAUUCCCACUUAUUCUAUUGCAAUUGAACCAACUAUUAUGUAUCUGCCAAGGCAUCUUUGGAGGUACCCUUUUGGACACGAGUGCUCAUUCCGGCUGAGUUAAAGCUAGUAGGCUUCAUUUUGUUCAUCUGCUUCUUCUUCUUUCUCUCUACCUUAGUACUCUCAGAUAGACUUGGAUAGUGCUGCUGAACCAUAUAAAAUACUUAAAGAGCGCUCGGGACACUGGUUAACAUUUUAAAAAAUAAUAAUAGGACCUAACAUAAAAAAUGACAGAGAACUAUAACUAUCAUUAAGCUGAUCUAUUAGAAUACUCCUUAACCAAUGCUGCAAAAAGUGAAGGCCUUUCAAGCAAACGUGAUGGCUUGUCAUAUUCCUUUGCAUAACCUGCCAAAAACAUCAAAUACCCCACAAUUCAUUAUUCAACCAAUCUAACUCUAUAUAUAUUUAUUUCGUACAAUAGUUGAACGAUUUUAAGAUAUAAACAGCAAGUUUUUUUGUCAAAAUUUUGGUAAUAGUAGAAACUACAAUGCUAAAUGGUUUUUUAUUAAUAUGACACUUCAAAUUGAAGGAUGUCUUGUAUAUGGCAACAAUAAAACACUGUCAUAUGCGAUUAUGUUCAAUAACUUCUGAUUUUUUAAAUUGUUGUCUCCUGGUAUGUGUAUGUGUUUGAAGUUUCUCAACACAUAUGGAUAUAUAGCAUAAACAUACCUUCAUCUAUGACCAAAACCUUGUCACAAUCCAUAACUGUUGGUAUUCUAUGAGCAAUGCUAAUGAUUGUACGAUCCGCAAAGUCUUCUCUGAUGAUCUUCUGUAAUACAACAUCAGUUUGCGAAUCAACUGAUGCUGUUGCUUCAUCCAUGAAUAAUAUUUUGCUGCGUUUUAGCAUGAUCCUUCCCAAGCAUAGAAGUUGCCUUUGCCCCACACUCCAAUUGUCUCCACCAUCAACCACUAACAAAAUAAUAUAGUAAGCACAUUUCAGUUCAAAUUCGAAUAUAGUCUAUGAAGGAGUAGUCCAGUGAUGUGUGUCGGGACGCUGAAUAGGUAUUAAGCUUCUGCCGACAAAUUAAUCACCAACAUUUAUCUAUAAAAAAACUUCUAAAACAUGAGAUUUAUGAGUUGAUUUUAUUUGAUCACCUAAAGCGUCAAGUUUCUCAGGCUUUGCAGCCACAGCAUCUUUCAAUUGGCACCGCUCAAGACUCUGCAGAAACAAACAUAAACAUAAAGUUAUUAGAUAUGAGAAGGUAAAACUAUUAACUGAAUUUCAUUCACACAUGUAAUAUCUUCUUUUUCUCUCUAUUUCUCCCUUUUACAAUGCACAAACAAUGAUGCAAGAAAAUAGUUGAUGUAGGAAAAUCUCAGCCAUCUGAUUUUGAUCAGUAAUUUACAAUAAUAUUGAUUUAUUUGUUGGGUUUUAAAUCCGGACCUUCCAAUUUCAAUCAAGCGAUCUUCAAUGUAUUGACAAUCAAUAGAAAUAUUAAACCAUGUUAAAAUAAUUUCAGCUAGGGCUUUGUUGUCCUCUUUAUUGGUUAUUAUAGAGAUGUUUAAAAGAACUUAUCUUAUGACAUAAACACUUGUGUAAGUAUUUGAGUGUUGAGUAUGACUCUUAUUCUUAGUUACCGAUAAGUAGAAAGGUUGAUCGUGCGAAGCGAGAUAGACCUCCCACUGGGCUAAGUCUAAAGGUUUGUUGGGUUGAGACACGGGUGUGUGGGGGCCGAAACCUCCUUGCAUUAUGGUUUAGGAGUAAUUUUCUACUUUGAACCGUAGUAUUUAAAUACAAGUUGUAUACUGUAAACUCUAAUCUUUCACUAAUAGUAGAAAUGAACUGUAGCCUCUUUACAGCAGUCGGAGACUAUUGGCCGAACUUUUAUUUUAAUACACUGCAUAGUUUAUGAUAUGUCCAUAGACUAUUUUUAGUUGAUUUUCAUUAGCUCUCGAUGAUAACUGAAAUAAGACUUAUGCAGAUUCUGCCUUAUUUCAUCUUCAAUUAUAAAAGCAGCUUAUGUCUAAGAAGUUCUAAAAAUAAAAAAAAUAAAAGAUUUUUUAAUUAAAAUAAAACAAACAAGCAAAUAUGCAGUGUAUUAUAUACCUUCCAGAUUUCUUCUUCUGAAUACAAGCCAAGAGGAUCAAUGUUGGUUCUUACUGUUCCUUGAAAGAGGACAGGCUCUUGUGGAAUAAUUCCAAAACGCGACCUCAAAUCAUGAAGGCCAACAUUGGAAAUGUUAAUACCAUCAAUGAUUAUUUUUCCAGCUGAAGGCUCAAUCAACCUAAAUAACACUUGAAUGAGUGUUGAUUUUCCACUUCCUGUACGGCCAACGACACCGACUUUUUCUCCACCUUCAAUUGUUAGAGAGACUCCCUUAAGAACUAGAGGAGUGUUUGGCCUAUACCUAACCUGCUCACACCAUUUAAUAACGAAAUAUAUUAAAUAUGUACUUAAAGAAUGCAUGUUACUACUGUUUCAAAAAAAAAGAAAAUAAUGCAUGUUACUAUGAGAAAUUCUUGAUCAGUACCAUUGCGUAGAAAACUACUACCGUUUACUUUUGGUGUUUCCAAAAAUAAUGGUAUUUCCUGUUUCUAUCUCUACAUCAUAUUUUACUUUUCAACAAUUCAUGCUUCACAAUAUUCUCAAUUCUGAACUAAACAUAUUGUCCUAAAGAGUAACCAACAAAUGCUUCUUUUCCCAAAUGGUAUACACUAAUUUUGGUUGAUUUAUGCAGGUCUCUGUUCUCACCACAUAUUAAAUUGACUAAUCUUGCAAAUAGUAUAUACCUGUAAAUUAUGUAACUCUAUAGUGCCAUGACUAGGCCAAUUCUGAGGAGGAGACUUGUCAGCAAUUUUCCAUGGAGCUUCUGAUGAGAGGUUAGUAAACUGUUUUAUCCUCUCAACUGAAACCAUUUUGUUCUCAACAUUGCAAGUCAUAGAUAUGGUAAUCGACAAGAGACCACUCAGAGCCAGGCCAUAAGACAAAGACAUACCAACAUAUUCUGCAAAACCAAAAUUAUAUCCAAGUGGAACAAUUCUUGUCAGUAGGACAUCUUUUAUAUUUACCUAAAUAUUAAAAGUAUGGGAUUUGCUAGAACACACCUGCUAGUUUUUGUAAAGGGUAUUUUAGCAACAUGCACCUUAGAGUCUAUUCAACAAAUUUUUAGUUAUCACUUGCUAAGAUACUCCUAAAAAAAGAGUGGGUGUAUUUUAACAAAUAUCUAUAUGAGCUGUUAAUUUACGCCCACUUAUUUUUUAAGAGUAUUUCAGCAAUCAGGGUGAAUUUAACCAUUUUUUAGUUAGUACUUGCUAAAAUACUGCUUCUAGAAAAAUAGUAUAAUGAGAUCAAGUUAUUUGAGUUUAGCUACCAACGUAAGCACUUGAGGGACUGUUUGGAAGAGUUUAUGGAAACAACUUAUGACAUAUCCAUACAUUGUUUUCAGCUUAUUUCUAUAAGCUGUCAAAGAUAGCCUGUGAAAACAACUCAUAACUUAUAUGAAAACAACUUUGACUUUAUUUGAUGUUCACUAUAGAAAUAGUUUAUACAUAAGCAUUUAUACUCUAAGCGCUUGAUAAACCUGUAUAUCCAAACAGAACCUUAGUUCUUGACUAAAAUGAUCGAAAUAGGGUUUUAAAAAAAGUCUCAGACUGUGAUCUCUUAGCCACAACGUUAAGAUUUUUUAUAUUUCUGUGAUUGCAGUCGCGAUCAAGGUCACAUCAGCCGCAUUUGACUGUGUUUUGCGACAAAAGGACCACGGCAGUGACCUUUGCUGUGACAGGGUUUUAAAACCUUUUUAAAAUAGUGAUUGUUCAUGAUACUUGUUAAAUGAAAAGAUGAUGAAGGGAAUUAUACCUGGCCUAGCAAUAGCACUUGGCAAAAAGAUCAUAAAAAGCGUGGCAAUGCAAAGGAAAGUCACUCCCAUAUAGUCCAAGCGAAAACCAAGCCAUUCAUUUGCACCAUUGUUAUGAAAAUCCAUUCUUAGACUUGCAUUCACCCUGUCAACAUUUUCUUGAGAAAAUGCAUUCUGCUUUCUUGAGCUACGGAUUGUCAUAACACCAGAAAUGGUCUCUGAAAAGUGAUGAAUCACUGGAGCUUUUGUGAUUGAAUCAAGUCGAGUCAAUUCCCUAGAAGUUGCAAGAUAAUAUUUCUGCAAACCAAAAUGCACCAAAAUAAGCACUUGUAAUACUGUUUAGGAGAUCUUGUGAAACAACUUUGACAUGUCUAUAAGUUGUUUUUAGCUUAUUUCCACAAGCUCUUUUUGGUUGCUGAAAACGUAAAUAGGAGUAAGUAUAUCAUACCCUAUACCAGUUGCUGAGCCAAAACAGUGGAAUUAAUAGGAAGACGGUCUCCCAAGAAUUCUGGCACGUGACUACGAGGAUACUGAAUAAUCCUACUAAUGUUGUCGUCACUAAGUUUACAAAGAUUGGAAUUUGUAUAUCCAGGGAAAGUAUAUCGGUAGAUACCUAAACAAUUCAUAACAUGAGUAGAGUUAGCAAGUCCAACAACUACUAUUUAAAGAAGAGAUGUGUUAUUUUGACAUAAAAUGGGACAACAAAAUUCGACAAUGGUUAUCAUUCAAAUGCGUGGUUUAUUGCAUUAAUUAGAUGGUUAAUGAAUAUUACAAGUUGUUGCAACUCAUUAUUCAUCCAAAAAACACAGUUAACCAAAAAAUUUAAGUUAUAUUUGAACACAAAUUGUGGCUCACACAUAUCAUGUAUAUUAUAAAACAACAAUAAUUUGAACUUGAACAUAAUUUGGAUGGUUAUAAUAAAUAUCGUAUAUAUUUUAAACACCUGAAAAAUCUUGGUUAACCCCAUGCAGAUAUGUAGUUAAUUACGCUAUGUGGAUGAUUAAUAGGUUGCAACACUUUGUUAUAUUCAUUAAUCAUCUAUUGAACGUAAUUAACCAAAUAGUUGUCGAUUUCUGUUGUCAAAUUUAUGCAUCAAAAUAUCAUUUCUCAUUCAAAGAAUAGGCUAGUUUACUAGAGCAGAAAUUGAAUGAACUCACACGACUCAAAAUUCUUCCAGAAGGAGUAGUAUCAAAGAAUGACAUUGGUGCAUGAAGGAUACUUUGAAGCAUUCCAACGAAGAAGCUUUGAGAUGUCUUUAAACCCCAAUAUGUAAAAAAGAAAGCUCUUGCCAUAACCACUAUACAUGACACAACAGCUAUAACAGCAUAGACAGUAAUGAAAGUGAAAGAAGAAACGGCAGAAUCAUCUGCAGUAGCAAUUGCUAGCCAAUAAUCACUAACCAAAAAUGACAGCAUCCAAACUACUGAUACUGCUACCAUUAAUGCUACUCCCCACCAUCCAAAUGCUUCUGUGAAAUAUUGUUUGUAUACUUCAAGAUUCACUUGUCCAAUUUCUCUUUCCUCAUCUUCAAUGAGCUUUGCUGCAGUUUUAUCAGACUUGGAUUGAAUUUGAGAAGACUGUUUUUCUCCGCUUUCUUUUUCUUUUGAAAUGACGCGGGCGAGUUUUGGAGAUUGAGCGGAAUCAUCACUAGUUUUCUCACUUGUUUCUGCUAUUUCCAUUGAGGAUUCAUGAGCAGCUACAAGUGCACCAAAAUCUAGGCCUGCUUUGAGAAGUUCAUCAUACUUUCCACUUUGCACUACUCUCCCUUCUCGCAUCACCUUUGAAAUUGGUAUCAAAACAAGCCAAGUUUCUCAGUUGAACUUGAAAAAACUUUAAUGUUUAAGGUUAUUUAUUGCAAACAAGUUAUCAGUUCUCAGCAAUCUCAAAAAUGAUGACUGUGAUAGAUUAACAGUGCAAAAAAAUUACGCUGAAAGUGUAUAAAAAUUAAUCUAUAUAUUUUCCCCCCUGAUGAGUGUGAUUGAUUAACAGUGUAAAUAUUUUACGCUGAAAGUGUAUAAAAAUUAAUCUAUUUGUUUUUUCCCCCUUAUUUGGUGAAAGGAUUAUAAAAUACAUGUAUAACACCAUUGAUUAACACCUACAUCAUGAGUAUUGUCACUCACUAUUGGUAAGAUAACUUGGGAGAAACUGAAUUGAACUGUCAUUUACAUAAAAAAUCAAACAUUUUAGGGACUUGUGAGCAUAUACAUACCAUUAUAGAGUCAACAUUAUGCAAGAAAUCAACUUGGUGUGUUACAAGUAAAACUGCCUUAUCUUUGAGAGUUCCCAUGAUACAUUCCUGCAACAAAAAUAGAGAAUCAGGAACUUCAUUCGUGACUGCAUUAGAAAAAAACUGACGUUAUCAUUUUGAUUAAUAUAAUAUAAUGUUUCUAAAAUGAGAAACAUCGUUAUAUCACUAAAAACUAGAAAAUUAAGCUAUUUAGCACUUCUUGUAAGUUGUAACUUUGUGCUUACCUUAAAAAUAAAUGAUCCUGUUUGAGCAUCAACAGCACUGAAUACAUCAUCAAGGAGAUAGAUGUCACUGUCCUGAUAUACAGCUCUAGCAAGUUGUAUGCGCUGUUUCUGGCCGCCACUGAGGUUAAUACCGCGCUCUCCAAUCUCGGUUUCGUCACCAUCUUCCAUCAUUACAAGAUCCUUUUCAAGGCAGCACACUCUUAGAGCUUCCUUGUACUUUUCCAUGUUCAUUGGCAAACCAAACAAUAUGUUUUCUUUGAUGGUUGCAUUCUGAAUCCAUGAUGUUUGUGCUACAUAUGCCGUCGUCCCACAAACUCUAACCUGUAACACAAAAUCUUUUUCAAUACAUUUGAAAAGCAUAGUCAUAAAUUCUUGCAACAAAAACAGUCUCACAAAUGUUUAUGCUAAUAGAUAAGCUCAAAUAAACCAGUCUUAAUAGGCCUUACACCUGAUAUGAAUGGUUCAAUUUUUUCCCAUGUGUCUUAGAAGAUGAUGAACAAAACAACCUUGUGAAUGUCAUGAAUCUUAAAGAUCAACGUUCAUGUUCUCUAAUAGUUAUAUGAUAUGCAUGUGCCAAAUCCUAUCCUAGGACAUGAAACAUAUACUUUUUUUAACAUGAAUGAAUUAAUACCUAGGUUUUAGACUGUGAUCACUGUCUCAGUAGUAGAAAAUAGAAAAUGAAGACAAGAAGGCCUAAUGCGAUAGAGUUUUGCUGUUGUAGCUGCAAUUACAGUUUUUAGCGCAACAAUUUCUAGCCUGGAUGAACCAAAUACAAAACUUUUUUAACUCUCCAGUUCUCAUGGGAACAAGUCCCUGAUAAUCCGGAGUUCAGUCGGGAGGUAAUUAAUGUUACAGUCAUAAUUCAAACUUGGAUUCUCCAAAAUGAUACAAAAUACUAUUCUUUUGUGCAAGAUGAAGAAAAUAACCUGAAGUGUGUUGAUUGUAAAAAAAAAUUCACGAGUCCAAGGCAAAAAAGCAUACCUUUCCUGAGAUCUUGAACAUUUCCCCCAACACAGAAGCCAGUAAUGAAGACUUGCCUGAUCCAACAGUUCCUACAACAGCAGCAUGGUCCCCUUUCUUAAUCACCAAUUCCUUAACUCGCAAAGCCUCAUUCUCAUCCAUAUCAUCCCAAGAAAAUUUCCCAUCUUUUAUCUCCACAGCUACAUCACCAUUACAGUUCUCCUCUCUUUGCACUGCAUUCUCAUCCAUUUCCUUACUCAUCAUGAACUUAUCCAACCUCCCUAAUGAUAUCGUUGCUUGCGAAAUAUUGAUAAGAGCCUGUGGAAAAGUACUCAUAGGCUCUUGAAGUAUCUUGAUCACUGCAGUUACUGUGAAAACAGUGCCAGCAUUCAGAGGAAUCCCCAUAAAAGUUGCAACUCCAAAUGUAAGAACAGUUAUAGCUAAAGGAGAAGUAGUCAAAACUCCCAUGUUCACAGCAAAAUAGUACAAGAAUUUCCCAAUCCAUCCAUGUUCGGCUUCACGAAACUGUUGAAUCUUGUUCCCGAAGUACUCUUCCCACGCUUGAAAUUUAAUCACACGCAUGUUGUUAAGCAACUCAUUCGUUGACUUCAUUCUCGAAUCGCGGCUCAUCAUUAUCCGAAACUGAAAAACAUUACUAUUCUUCGAUCGAUAUGCAGUGAAGCAGAAGACAAUGGCAGUACCAAGAAUUGCUGCAACGACAGAUACACCAACAUAGCUAUACAUAAGAGCCAAUGCAGCGGCAACUUGUAAUGGCAUCAUCCAAAUAGGAUGAAACUGCUUCAUCAAGUCUGAGAGUUGUUGAGCAUCAACAGCCAUGUGAUUCACAAUCUGUCCAGUUCCAUGAGCCUGUCUUGAAGAACUUGACAACCUUAAACCCUUUUUGUAAACCGAAGUGAUUAUGCUCGAGCGAACAAGCAUACCUAGUUUCUGAGAAUGGAAGUUGAAUUGAUGAACACUAAGUACUUCAACAGAUUUUGCUGCAAAAAGGACACAUAUCAAAACAAUACCUUCACUAGUCGGACUAUCUUUCUGUGAUGUGAAAUCAACAAAACUCUGAAUCAGCAAUGGACCGACAUACAUAACACAAAGCCUCAUGAAUGCAAGAAAGCCAGUGAAAACUAUGUGUUUCCAAAAACACCUAAAAAGGGUAACUCCAACUGGAUGCUUACUGUUUUCCUCUGGUUUCGGCCAAUUGUUUUGAAAAAGUUCAGACAUUUUUUCUGCUCUAAAAUCAAGAGGAAGUGAAGGAACAUCUUCUAGUUUAAGGGGUGUUUGGUAGCCUUUAUUGAGUAAAGGAUUCAGCCAAAACCACCCUGUUUUGGACAAAAAUGAAGAAUGGGCAUAAGGACUCAAAGUUCUAUCGAUUGAAAUCGAUGGAUAUGUGGCUACUACAUCGGAUAUUCUUAUCACAUGAAUACCUGAUGACCCUUUUAUUGAUAUGACAAAAAAGAACACAGAUAAUGGAAGAUUAACCAAUGAGAAUAUGUCAUCUAUUCUCAAACUAAGCUCCAACUUUUCUUCACGGACAGUUAUCAAUCGAACAAUAGCCGAAACAGCAAACAAAGUAGCAAUCACAAAGUUUGCUAUCCAAUAGAUUCUUAGUGAUAAAGGGUGUUUGGAAGAUUUGAACUUUUUCUCAUGUAACAUUAGAAUCACUAUAACUAUGUUGGUUAUUGCUUGAAACAACCGAAAAAGUGCUUCUAUUUGUUUCCAUGAAGAAAGGUUAUUGGUUUGAGUAAAAGCCAAGAUUCCUAGAACAGUGUAACUUAUAGCCAAAAGGGUAGUUACCAAAAAGGCUAGUUUGAACAAAAAGGUGAUUUUAUAGUCAGAAUCUUUCUCUUGCAGAAGUGGUUUUGUGAUUGAGGAGCUAGUGUUUGCUCUUGAAUAGAAUCUUGAAUAGAGUUUUUGAGCUGCAAAAGCUAAGAGGGAGAGCAAAAACAAGGAAUCAAGAGCAGAAAGUAGAAGUCUCUGAGGACAAGGAGAUAGGAAAAUGAACCUUAACCAUUGAAGAAUGAAUUGUGGUGUAGAAGAAGAUGAAUGUAAAGGUAAAAGGGUGCAUGAAGGAGAAGUUAGCCAUGCAGAAGUAGAAGAAGACAUGGCUAUAAGAUUAUGGAAUGAUAAUUGUUAAGGUUUCAUAUUAUUUGUUAGAAAAUAUGUAAUGAGUUUGUUGCAGAAAGUAUGAGAGACAGAGC